RNAcentral lists this ribosomal RNA (518 nucleotides) under fungal sp. Q20. RNAcentral's name for it is "eukaryotic LSU rRNA". The stretch from base 154 to 307 matches the Rfam family "5.8S ribosomal RNA". The record is from RNAcentral. Lineage: Eukaryota; Fungi.
GGAUCAGGACCGGCUACCCCGGGAUGUUCAUAACCCUUUGUUGUCCGACUCUGUUGCCUCCGGGGCGACCCUGCCUUCGGGCGGGGGCUCCGGGUGGACACUUCAAACUCUUGCGUAACUUUGCAGUCUGAGUAAACUUAAUUAAUAAAUUAAAACUUUUAACAACGGAUCUCUUGGUUCUGGCAUCGAUGAAGAACGCAGCGAAAUGCGAUAAGUAAUGUGAAUUGCAGAAUUCAGUGAAUCAUCGAAUCUUUGAACGCACAUUGCGCCCCCUGGUAUUCCGGGGGGCAUGCCUGUUCGAGCGUCAUUUCACCACUCAAGCCUCGCUUGGUAUUGGGCAACGCGGUCCGCCGCGUGCCUCAAAUCGACCGGCUGGGUCUUCUGUCCCCUAAGCGUUGUGGAAACUAUUCGCUAAAGGGUGUUCGGGAGGCUACGCCGUAAAACAACCCCAUUUCUAAGGUUGACCUCGGAUCAGGUAGGGAUACCCGCUGAACUUAAGCAUAUCAAGCGCGAAGAAA